GUAUCAUAGUCUCGUUGGUGACCAGCGGAGGGAUCAUUACCGAGUUUACAACUCCCAAACCCCUGUGAACAUACCUUAAUGUUGCCUCGGCGGAUCAGCCCGCUCCCCGUAAAACGGGACGGCCCGCCAGAGGACCCAAACUCUAAUGUUUCUUAUUGUAACUUCUGAGUAAAACAAACAAAUAAAUCAAAACUUUCAACAACGGAUCUCUUGGUUCUGGCAUCGAUGAAGAACGCAGCAAAAUGCGAUAAGUAAUGUGAAUUGCAGAAUUCAGUGAAUCAUCGAAUCUUUGAACGCACAUUGCGCCCGCUGGUAUUCCGGCGGGCAUGCCUGUUCGAGCGUCAUUUCAACCCUCAAGCCCCCGGGUUUGGUGUUGGGGAUCGGCUCUGCCUCACGGCGGUGCCGCCCCCGAAAUACAUUGGCGGUCUCGCUGCAGCCUCCAUUGCGUAGUAGCUAACACCUCGCAACUGGAACGCGGCGCGGCCAUGCCGUAAAACCCCAACUUCUGAAUGUUGACCUCGGAUCAGGUAGGAAUACCCGCUGAACUUAAGCAUAUCAAUAAGCGGAGGAA
RNAcentral lists this ribosomal RNA (571 nucleotides) under Fusarium lateritium. RNAcentral's name for it is "eukaryotic LSU rRNA". The stretch from base 191 to 344 matches the Rfam family "5.8S ribosomal RNA". Lineage: Eukaryota; Fungi; Ascomycota; Sordariomycetes; Hypocreales; Nectriaceae. The record is from RNAcentral.